UUUCGAUGUGCAGAAACUAAAAUUGCUCCUCUACUCAGCCAAAUCCCCAUUCAAUAAGUAGAUUUGAAUUUUCAGAGAUAUAGAAGUAGUCACGAUAUUGUCGAUUGAAUUUCGGAGCUACAAUUUUGGUCGGUGGAAGAAAUGAAGAGGAAUAAUGAUUUAAGGUUCACCACAAAUAAUAUCUACCAACAUACCAAUAGUG
RNAcentral lists this long non-coding RNA (202 nucleotides) under Olea europaea (common olive). RNAcentral describes it as "long non-coding RNA (OEUR_LNC010114)". The record is from RNAcentral. Lineage: Eukaryota; Viridiplantae; Streptophyta; Magnoliopsida; Lamiales; Oleaceae.